RNAcentral lists this transfer RNA (75 nucleotides) under Candidatus Aenigmarchaeota archaeon ex4484_52. RNAcentral's name for it is "tRNA-Ile". It matches the Rfam family "tRNA". From Rfam's summary of the family: Transfer RNA (tRNA) molecules are approximately 80 nucleotides in length. Their secondary structure includes four short double-helical elements and three loops (D, anti-codon, and T loops). Lineage: Archaea; Nanobdellati; Candidatus Aenigmatarchaeota. RNAcentral also lists the same sequence under 1 other name. The record is from RNAcentral.
GGUCUGGUGGCUCAGUUUGGUUAGAGCGCUGCGCUGAUAACGCAGAGGUCGUGAGUUCAAGUCUCACCUAGACCA